GAUGAAGAACGCAGCGAAAUGCGAUAAGUAAUGUGAAUUGCAGAAUUCAGUGAAUCAUCGAAUCUUUGAACGCACAUUGCGCCCGCCAGUAUUCUGGCGGGCAUGCCUGUUCGAGCGUCAUUUCAACCAUCAAGCCCCAGGCUUGUGUUGGAGCCCUGCGGCUGCCGCAGCCUCCCAAAACCAGUGGCGGGCUCGCUAUCACACCGAGUGCAGUAGUUUACUCUUCGCUCAGGGCGUGUGGCGGGUGCUAGCCGUAAAACCCCCAACUUCUCAAGGUUGACCUCGGAUCAGGUAGGAACACCCGCUGAACUUAAGCAUAUCAAUAAGCGGAGGA
RNAcentral lists this unclassified non-coding RNA (334 nucleotides) under soil metagenome. RNAcentral describes it as "partial contains 5.8S ribosomal RNA, internal transcribed spacer 2, and large subunit ribosomal RNA". The stretch from base 1 to 120 matches the Rfam family "5.8S ribosomal RNA", at positions 35 to 154 of the family's 154-position model. The record is from RNAcentral.